UCCGUAGGUGAACCUGCGGAAGGAUUAUUAACGAGUUUUGAAACGGGUUGUAGCUGGCCUUCCGAGGCAUGUGCACGCCCUGCUCAUCCACUCUACCCCUGUGCACUUACUGUAGGUUGGCGUGGGCUCCUUAACGGGAGCAUUCUGCCGGCCUAUGUAUACUACAAACACUUUAAAGUAUCAGAAUGUAAACGCGUCUAACGCAUCUAUAAUACAACUUUUAGCAACGGAUCUCUUGGCUCUCGCAUCGAUGAAGAACGCAGCGAAAUGCGAUAAGUAAUGUGAAUUGCAGAAUUCAGUGAAUCAUCGAAUCUUUGAACGCACCUUGCGCUCCUUGGUAUUCCGAGGAGCAUGCCUGUUUGAGUGUCAUGGAAUUCUCAACUUAUAAAUCCUUGUGAUCUAUAAGCUUGGACUUGGAGGCUUGCUGGCCCUUGUUGGUCGGCUCCUCUUGAAUGCAUUAGCUCGAUUCCGUACGGAUCGGCUCUCAGUGUGAUAAUUGUCUACGCUGUGACCGUGAAGUGUUUUGGCGAGCUUCUAACCGUCCAUUAGGACAACUUUUUAACAUCUGACCUCAAAUCAGGUAGGACUACCCGCUGAACUUAAGCAUAUCAAUAAGCGGAGGA
This is a ribosomal RNA of 623 nucleotides. The stretch from base 216 to 369 matches the Rfam family "5.8S ribosomal RNA".